Molecule: unclassified non-coding RNA, 78 nt
Organism: Myotis lucifugus (little brown bat)
Lineage: Eukaryota; Metazoa; Chordata; Mammalia; Chiroptera; Vespertilionidae
Rfam family: Y RNA
About the family: Y RNAs are components of the Ro ribonucleoprotein particle (Ro RNP), in association with Ro60 and La proteins. The Y RNAs and Ro60 and La proteins are well conserved, but the function of the Ro RNP is not known.
Source: Ensembl
GGCUGGUCCGAUGGCAGUGGGUUACCAGAACUUACCUAAGUUAGUAUCACUAACCCCCCACUGCUUGACUGGCUUAAA